AGCUAUCAGAAGCUUGCCUUACUCUCAUUGUUCCUUCACUGCUGUCAUUGCCAAUUUUCUCGCUACUUUUCUUUCUGAGUGAAAUCAACUGCAAUUUGCUCAUCCGUCAAAAUUAUGAUCACACAAUGGGAUUUAAGUCAGAAUAAUCCAAACAAGAUACUGAAGAUCACCGGGGCGCACAUCCAUCAUGACUGGAAACACGGGAACAUGUUGCGGCUACAAGCAACUUGGCACACUACUUGUGCUCAUUUCAAAAUAUUUACAUUUUUGAUAGCUUUGCAGUAAGAAAAGAGCAGCAGACAGCAGUCCAGCAAGACCGAAGUGUAGAAAGCAAGUGCAAUUGUGCUCAGAAUUAAAUGAGUUCAAAAGGAGUUAGGUUUUUCUUCAAUGUAUUUGAUUACGUAAUAAAUAUUGCUGCAAAAUUAUUA
This is a long non-coding RNA of Stegodyphus dumicola, 428 nucleotides long. The record is from RefSeq and is a predicted model, not a curated record. Lineage: Eukaryota; Metazoa; Arthropoda; Arachnida; Araneae; Eresidae.